This 72-nucleotide transfer RNA is filed under the name Ovis aries (sheep). It matches the Rfam family "tRNA". From Rfam's summary of the family: Transfer RNA (tRNA) molecules are approximately 80 nucleotides in length. Lineage: Eukaryota; Metazoa; Chordata; Mammalia; Artiodactyla; Bovidae. The record is from Rfam by way of RNAcentral.
UUCCCGGUGGUCCAGUGGUUAGGACUCAGCACUUUCACUGCUGCGACACAGGUUCAAUCCCUGGUCAGGGAA